GCGGGUGUAGUUCAAUGGUAGAACGACAGCCUUCCAAGCUGUACACGCGGGUUCGAUUCCCGCUACCCGCUCCA
This 74-nucleotide transfer RNA is filed under the name Candidatus Obscuribacterales bacterium. RNAcentral describes it as "tRNA-Gly". It matches the Rfam family "tRNA". Rfam says of the family: Transfer RNA (tRNA) molecules are approximately 80 nucleotides in length. Lineage: Bacteria; Bacillati; Candidatus Melainabacteria; Candidatus Obscuribacterales. The record is from RNAcentral.